This 72-nucleotide transfer RNA is filed under the name Gaeumannomyces tritici R3-111a-1. RNAcentral describes it as "tRNA-Arg (TCT) (tRNA-Arg-TCT-2-1)". It matches the Rfam family "tRNA". From Rfam's summary of the family: Transfer RNA (tRNA) molecules are approximately 80 nucleotides in length. RNAcentral also lists the same sequence under 1 other name. Lineage: Eukaryota; Fungi; Ascomycota; Sordariomycetes; Magnaporthales; Magnaporthaceae. The record is from RNAcentral.
GCCCGGCUGGCUCAAUGGUAGAGCGUUGGACUUCUAAUCCAAAGGCUGCGGGUUCGAGUCCCGCGUUGGGUG